Molecule: ribosomal RNA, 207 nt
Filed under: uncultured bacterium
Lineage: Bacteria
Description: partial 16S ribosomal RNA
Rfam family: Bacterial small subunit ribosomal RNA
Source: RNAcentral
ACGCUCGACACCUACGGGGGGCAGCAGUCGGGAAUAUUGCGCAAUGGAGGAAACUCUGACGCAGUGACGCCGCGUGCAGGAAGAAGGUUUUCGGAUUGUAAACUGCUUUAGACAGGGAAGAAAGAAAUGACAGUACCUGUAGAAUAAGCUCCGGCUAACUACGUGCCAGCAGCCGACGGUAAUCUGGAGGCGGGCGUGGACGAAGGC